This 211-nucleotide ribosomal RNA is filed under the name uncultured bacterium. Its description in RNAcentral is "partial 16S ribosomal RNA". It matches the Rfam family "Bacterial small subunit ribosomal RNA", at positions 524 to 734 of the family's 1533-position model. The record is from RNAcentral.
UACGUAGGGUGCAAGCGUUGUCCGGAAUUAUUGGGCGUAAAGAGCUCGUAGGCGGUCUGUCGCGUCUGCUGUGAAAACUCAGGGCUUAACCCUGAGCUUGCAGUGGGUACGGGCAGACUAGAGUGCGGUAGGGGAGACUGGAAUUCCUGGUGUAGCGGUGAAAUGCGCAGAUAUCAGGAGGAACACCGGUGGCGAAGGCGGGUCUCUGGGC